AUUGAACGCUGGCGGCAUGCUUUACACAUGCAAGUCGAACGGCAGCGCGGGCUUCGGCCUGGCGGCGAGUGGCGAACGGGUGAGUAAUACAUCGGAACGUGCCCAGUAGUGGGGGAUAGCUCGGCGAAAGCCGGAUUUAUACCGCAUACGACCUGAGGGUGAAAGCGGGGGAUCUUCGGACCUCGCGCUAUUGGAGCGGCCGAUGGCAGAUUAGCUAGUUGGUGGGGUAAAGGCCUACCAAGGCGACGAUCUGUAGCUGGUCUGAGAGGACGACCAGCCACACUGGGACUGAGACACGGCCCAGACUCCUACGGGAGGCAGCAGUGGGGAAUUUUGGACAAUGGGCGAACGCCUGAUCCAGCAAUGCCGCGUGUGUGAUGAAGGCCUUCGGGUUGUAAAGCACUUUUGGCGGGAACGAAAAGGACUGUGCCAAUACCACGGCUCGAUGACGGUACCCGCAGAAUAAGCACCGGCUAACUACGUG
RNAcentral lists this ribosomal RNA (484 nucleotides) under uncultured bacterium. Its description in RNAcentral is "partial 16S ribosomal RNA". It matches the Rfam family "Bacterial small subunit ribosomal RNA", at positions 29 to 507 of the family's 1533-position model. The record is from RNAcentral.